Molecule: ribosomal RNA, 253 nt
Filed under: uncultured bacterium
Lineage: Bacteria
Description: partial 16S ribosomal RNA
Rfam family: Bacterial small subunit ribosomal RNA
Source: RNAcentral
UACGUAGGUGGCAAGCGUUGUCCGGAUUUACUGGGCGUAAAGCGAACGCAGGCGGACCUUUAAGUAGGACGUGAAAGGUUGGAGCUCAACUCUAACACUGCUCCCUAUACUGGAGGUCUUGAGUGCCGGAGAGGAAGACGGAACAAGUUGUGUAGCGGUGAAAUGCGUUGAUAUAACUUGGAACACCAAUGGCGAAAGCAGUCUUCUGGACGGAUACUGACGCUCAGGUUCGAAAGCCAAGGUAGCAAACAGG